Molecule: transfer RNA, 73 nt
Filed under: Ornithorhynchus anatinus (platypus)
Lineage: Eukaryota; Metazoa; Chordata; Mammalia; Monotremata; Ornithorhynchidae
Rfam family: tRNA
About the family: Transfer RNA (tRNA) molecules are approximately 80 nucleotides in length. Their secondary structure includes four short double-helical elements and three loops (D, anti-codon, and T loops).
Source: Rfam by way of RNAcentral
AGCCCAGUGGCUUAGUAGGCAGAGCAUGGGCCUGGGAGCCAGAAGGACCUGGGUUCUAAUCCCGGCUCGGCCA